GCAUGAUGAGUAAUCAGAGGAGUGAGUCUCUCAACUCAAGGCUUCAUGUGCACCUGAACAGGAAGAUGCAGCUUGUUGAUUUGUUGCAGCAUGUUGAGCACUGUGUAUCCAUAAUGCGUAAGAAUGAAGCAGCAUUAGAUGCAGUAGCAACACAUACGAUACCCUUCACUAAGCUGAAUGCACACCCUCUGGAGAUUGCUGCCUCUUAUAUUUAUACAACUGUGAUGUUUCCAAAGGUAAAGCGUCAGAUUGUCGAAGGGGCAAAUUGGCAGGUCACGGACCGGGUAGCAUGUGAUGGUUUGGUCAUGUUUGGAGUUUUGCGCAAAGCCCCAUAUGAUAAAGUCCCAUAUGGCAGGGAUGCUACAGAAUUGCAAGGUAAUUAAGGUAAGGAUGCUGAGGACUUGCAUGCAAAAAAAUUGGAUGCUGAGGAUCCCAAUGACUUGGAUGGUAAGGAUGUUGAGGACUUGCAUGCAAAAAACUUGGAUGCUGAGGAUCCCAAUGACUUGGAAGGUAAGGAUGCUGAGGACUUGCAUGCAAAAAACUUGGAUGCUGAGGAUCCCAAUGACUUGAAAGGUAAGGAUGGUGUGGACUUGCAUGCCAAAAACCUGGAUGCCAAGGAUCCCAAUGACUUGGAAGGUAAGGACAGUGAGGAGUUGGAUGCAAAAAAGUUGGAUGCACAAGGCGUGGAUGCUAAGCCUGUGGAUUUUAUAUAUCACGUGACUUGUCUGUUUACAGGAGCAAGACUGGAUGAUGCGGCUUGUAAAUGUAAAAAGUUGGAAAGUCAGGAUUACCCAUGCGCACGUAUAUUAUGCGUUCUGGAUCAUCUUGGUGUACGCACAUUUCCAAAAAAAAAUUGUCAAGAAAAGAUGGACAAUGCAUGCCAAGCCAGCGUUCCCUUCUUCGAGGACUGCGAAUACUCAUGUAUGGUCUGAUCACAUGAAUAAGUAUCAUCAACUACGCAACAUGGCUAGUGACGCUUUAUUCAUAGCCGCAGCUAGCGAUUCACAGUCAGAAUAGGUGAUGGAGCUCCUCCAGAGUAUAUUGGUUGAUGGAGAAAAAACUGAUUUGGAUGAAGGCCAUAAAUCAUUUGUUCCUUUGCCGGCAUACUUCUCUGCUGCUCGCGAAUGCUGCACUGAUGACGUGAAAAAUCCAAUCAAAAUAGUUCCAAAAGGGAGACCAACUACCGAAGAAUCGAACAAGAGGAUUAAAUCCAGGUGCGAGCGGAUGAGAGGGAAAAAAAGCAACGAAGAACAAAUCGGGGAAAUCAAAGGUCGCAAGGAGGAAGAAGCGAAAAGAGAAAGACUCAGAGAUAGAAGAAGACACAGAUUCAGAUACAGAAGAAGAGGAAGAUUCAAAAAAAGCAACGAAGUUAGUGCACAUGUUAAUCUCAUUGUUCAUUUCCAUACAUGCUUACAGUGUUAAUAUGUUCUCCCGGAGAGUGUUCACAUGUUUUUCUUCAAUUUACACAGGAAAAAAUGAGAGAAAUCAAAUAGCACAAGGAGGAAGAAGCAAAAAGAAGAGACAGAGUCAGAUACAGAAGAAGAGACAGAGACAGAUACAGAAGAAGAGACAGAGUAGAUACAGAAGAAGAGGAAGAUUCAGGUACAGAAGAAGAGGAAGAUUCAGAUGCAGAAGAAGAGGGAGAUUCAGAUGCAGAAGAAGAGGGAGAUUCAGAUGCAGAAGAAGAGGAAGAUUCAGAUGCAGAAGAUGGUGGGCUGAGGAGGGCUAGGAAGAGACAAUUGGAGGUUGCAAAAGAGGAUUACACAAAACCAAACAAGAAAUGCAAAGGCGCUCCAAAUGUCAAUGCUGGGAGAAAGAAAAAGAACGAUGACAAGGGUGCGCGAGGAAAACCAGUGAAGAAAGACUCUAGGAAGGGCGGUAAAGAACAGGCCGAAGGGGUGAUGAAGACAAAAAGGCCUGCUAGGAAUGUACCACAGGCUGAGCGAAUAAGAGCUGUCAAGUUAGCUUCUGUAGCUAUGAAGAGAAAAUCAGUGAAGAAAGCUAAAGUGAAGUCGAGACAGGAUGUUUAGAUGCACAGGGUCAAGCAGAGAAAACAAAAGGAUUUCUGGGGUCGAAAAAUUGAGAACAAACUAAAGUAGACAGUUUUUCAUGCCGUGAUCCACCUUGUUUCUGAUGUAUUAGACCUAUUUGAUGGACUGCCACUAUUUUUCUGAAUUCAUCGUUUGAUUGGUACACCCUCAUUUUAUUAUGGACGGGUCGACAUGGUAGGCUAGUUAUGAUUUAUCAACAUCGAUGAAACAAUGCAUUUUUAGUGAAGUUGGUUUUGUGUAUUUUUUUUUCAUUUUUUACAUAAUAUAUUGCUGAAA
Molecule: long non-coding RNA, 2327 nt
Organism: Aegilops tauschii subsp. strangulata
Lineage: Eukaryota; Viridiplantae; Streptophyta; Magnoliopsida; Poales; Poaceae
Product: protein FAR1-RELATED SEQUENCE 5
Source: RefSeq, a predicted model, not a curated record